This 255-nucleotide ribosomal RNA is filed under the name uncultured bacterium. RNAcentral describes it as "partial 16S ribosomal RNA". It matches the Rfam family "Bacterial small subunit ribosomal RNA", at positions 524 to 776 of the family's 1533-position model. The record is from RNAcentral.
UACGUAGGGUGCAAGCGUUGUCCGGAAUUAUUGGGCGUAAAGAGCUCGUAGGCGGUUUGUCGCGUCUGCUGUGAAAACCCGAGGCUCAACCUCGGGCCUGCAGUGGGUACGGGCAGACUAGAGUGCGGUAGGGGGAGAUUGGAAUUCCUGGUGUAGCGGUGGAAUGCGCAGAUAUCAGGAGGAACACCAAUUGCGAAGGCAGCUCGCUGGGACGUAACUGACGCUGGAGACGCGAAAGCGUGGGGAGCAAACAGG